This 215-nucleotide unclassified non-coding RNA is filed under the name plant metagenome. RNAcentral describes it as "partial contains small subunit ribosomal RNA, internal transcribed spacer 1, and 5.8S ribosomal RNA". The stretch from base 1 to 54 matches the Rfam family "Eukaryotic small subunit ribosomal RNA", at positions 1778 to 1831 of the family's 1831-position model. The record is from RNAcentral.
GGAAGUAAAAGCCGUAACAAGGUUUCCGUAGGUGAACCUGCGGAAGGAUCAUUAACAAAUCCGGUGUACUGUUUCAUGUGCAUUUAUUGUGCAUGCUUCAGUGACACACAAGUUCCAUGUGCACGUUCACUCUGCACAUGACAUUUCUGUUUAUUGUCUGAUUGUGAUUGGUGUUGAAAUGGUAAUGACUUUUAACAAUGGAUCUCUAGGCUCUC